Molecule: non-coding RNA, 3599 nt
Organism: Chrysemys picta bellii (western painted turtle)
Lineage: Eukaryota; Metazoa; Chordata; Testudines; Emydidae
Source: RefSeq, a predicted model, not a curated record
ACUAAGGUGGAAAGGAAUGAUCAAGUUAGCAAUCUCAAGAUUGAUACAGCAACACACUACAGCACUAGAGUGGAUUCUCUAAUGCCAGGAAUAAGUUCUUUUUGGCUCUCCAUGAUAUGCUCUGACUACACUUCUGCUAGAACAUAGCAGUGACUUUCUGACAGGGAGCAAGAGAGGGGAAGUCAUGUGGGAGGGGACUUUCCCAAUGAGAGAAUUCAUAUAUCGCUUCCUUCCUAAUUCUCUCUGAUGCUGAUUCAGUGUCAUUUCUCCAGACUUAUCCCUGGCCUUACCCUGUUCUCAGUGCAAUGUCUCCAUUCUACCCAGUGGAAAACACCUUGAUUAAAGUCCCACCUCAGGUGAUUCCAAGAGCAUAGUAGAGCUACUUCCUGGCUUAUUUGCUAGCACCAUGUUUUUUUAAUUACUUUAGAUCCUUUGCAGUCUUGACCUAGCUGCAUAAAGAGGCAUGCAAUGGUUUUAAGGGAUGUCUUAGCUGUGACACGCUUAGUGGCUGUGGUGCAAGCCACAUUCAUUCUCCCAACCUCUAAAAGUACCUGAUGAGGAUGUGCAGCAUUCAAACCACCAGCAAAGAUUACUGGAUACCCCAGGUCAGCUGAUCCAACUCCCAGGGCAGCAGGCUGAUAGGAAAGACGAGAGCUGGAAAGCUAAGAAACGAGAAAAAAUACAAAGAGGGGCAAAGAGAGAGGAGAGAGAAAGGGGAGAGGGAAAGCCCCCACAGUCUGAAUAGUUAUCAGAAUCACUGGAGAAAGAACAGGAGAUGUCACAGAGGCACAGUACAUGCAUGGCGCUGGACUACCAGAGUGCCUCAAAGAUUUAUAUGGGAACCAAUGCCCAAGGUUUGAUUUAAUUUAUCUAUUUUAAAACAAAUCAGCCUUGUAACAGAAAGAGGAUAAAGGUUUGGCCUUAAAACAAGCCUGGUUUGAAUGGGAGAGAGAAUGUAGGGAAAGCCUGCAUGACAGCUCUUGCAUCACAUACUGGAGAAAGGACCAGCGCAACCACUUCAAAACUCAUUGAAAAGCUCAUAUAAACACUGGCAUUUUAAAGCCACUUCCUCAUCAGGGAUUCAAGCUCUCAGCAUACUUACUGCAAACACAGGGGGAUGUAGCAGGAAUGAAGGACACCCCCCACCUAAUCAAAGGAAACAAACCUUGGCCAUAGGACAUACAGGCCCUCAAGCUUGCUAGCUAAAAAGAAAACCAGCAAGCUAAGCCCCACAAGAUUUCCUCCCAGUAUCCCAAACCCAACCAGAAGGAUGAGCAUCAGGAGAUGCUCCCCAUCUUCAGCCACCUCUUCUCAAUCACUUGAUCCUAAUUAGAAACACAGCUAGUGGGAUCAAUAGGAAUCCCGUUUGUUCUUCUGACCUCAGAAGCAGCACUCUGUUAGGAGCCAUGUAUCACAUGAUAUCCUCAAUUGAGACAAGGUGGGUGAGGUAAUAUCUUUUAUUGGACCAAUUUCUGUUGGUAAAAGAUAUACAAGCUUUCAAGCUUAAAGAAGCUCUUCUUCAGGUCUGGGAAAGGUUCUCAGUGUCACAGCUAAAUACAAGGUGGAAGAGAUUGUUUAGCAUAAGUAAUUAACACAUAUUCUAAGGGAACAUUUCAGAAGUGGCUUGCUAACUCCAUGUAGUCACAGGAUGAAAAGGGGAGGGCAAUGAGUUACAGAUUGUUGUAAUAAGCCAUAAAUCCAGUGGUUUUUUUAAGACCAUGAUUUUUAGAGUCUAGCAAAGUUAUGAAGUUAAGUUCCCAGGCUCAUCUUUUGAAGGUUUUCUUUGAGGACGAGGAUGAGAGAUCAGAUAUAAAGCGAUCACUUUGUGAAAAGUGUGCACCCACUCAUGAUAGGGUAUUUUUGUCUUCUAACCUUUUCCUAUACAAGUUCACUUGAGAGCAUAGUGAUUGCCUGAUUUCACCCAUAUAGUUUUUAUUGGGGCAUUUAAUGCACUGGAUGAGAUAUAUCACAUAUUGUGAUAGGCAUGUGCAGGACCCAUGGAUUUUGAAAGGUGUGGAGAUAGGUCUGCCAGUUUUGCAUCUGUUAUGGCAGGGUCUGGUGCUGCUUUGAGUUGGUGGAUCCUAGUCUCUGGGAAGCUUGCUUUGGAUAGUGAGGUUGGGAGGUUGUUUGAAGGCCAGAAGAGGGGGCUGGAGAAAGAUUUCUUUCAGGAGGUGGUCCCCAUGAAGUACGGGUUGUAAUUGUUUAAUGAUACCCCAUAUUUGUUCCAGUGUGAGGUGGUAGGUGACAACUAGAGGUGUGUGGUCGGAGGGUUCCCCCCCCCAUAUUGAAGCAGGUUCUCUUAGGGUAUUUGGGUGGCCCAUUCCAUGAUGUGAUCUAUUUUUCUGGUGGAGUGUCCUUAUUUGGUGAAGGUGUGUAUCCUGGACUUUCUUCUCAGAGCAUAUUCUGUGGUAUCUGAGGGCCUGGCUGUAGAUAACAGAUUUCUUGGUGUGUUUGGGGUGGUUACUGGAUCUGUGAAGGUAAGUAGGGUGAUCCAGGAGUUUCUUGUAUAUAGUUAUCUGUUGAAUGCCAUUACUGAAGCUAAUUGUGGUGUCCAGAAAGUUGAUGCCGGUGCGGUAGUGUUCUAGAGAGAGUUUGAUAGAUGGGUAGUGGUUGUAGAAAUUGUGGUGGAAAUCUAUGAUGGGUGGGUCUGACACAUGCCUAUCACAUCUGGUGCACUAAAUGCUCUAACAACAACUGUGGGGGGGAAAUCAGACACUCACUACACUCUUAACUGAAUUCACACAGAAAAAUGAUAAAAGACAAAAAACACCAUAUCACUCACGGAUGAACACUUUUCACAAAACGGUCACAAGACCCGACCCCCAGGACAUGAAGGGUUCUUCCACUGGUGUAGGUGCUCCACCUCCAUCAACCUAGAACUGUCUACACUGGAGGUAACUCAGCUUAAUUACAUCACUCAGGGAUGUGGAUUUUUCACACCACAUGAGAUGUAGCUAAUGCCGAUAUAAGUUCCCAGUGUAGACCAGCCCUCAGUACCUUUCCCAGAGCUGAAGAGGAGCCGCAAGAGGUAGCUUGAAAGCUUGUCUCUCUCACCUACAGAAGUUGGUUCAAUAAAAGAUAUUACCUCACCCACCCAGGGACUGACAUGGCUACAACACUGAAUCCCCAAGUAAAUCAGUACUCCGAGUGCUGACAUUUUUGAGGCGGGGCCUGACAAUUUAAGGCUGCCCACAGAUAUCAGGCUGGGCUCCUUCUAGAGUCUGGGUUAAGCUGGAUGGAGUGGUCUCUUCUCACAAACCAGGCUGGCCCAGUCUCAAGAACUCUUAUUUUGCUAGGAGCAUCAUCUGAUGGUACUCUGACUUUCAUAGGGCUUUCUGCUCCCCAGAGAGUCCCCAGUCCCUCAGGGAACUCUAGGGGCCAGUCUUUCUCUUUUUAAAUAAAGUCCCCCAACUCAUGCAGACAUCCCUUCCCAUCACUACCCUGUGAUUUACUAUGAAUUAAGACAGCCAGUCUCUCUUCACCAGACACUGUCAACUUGAAAUUCAAUUAAUUUUUAAAAGUGGAGUUAAAAGUAACCUCAGCCCUGCACCUGCCACUCAGAUCCCCAGCAAUGUGUGUGAUUUUAUAAUAAAAAUGUU